RNAcentral lists this ribosomal RNA (256 nucleotides) under uncultured bacterium. RNAcentral's name for it is "partial 16S ribosomal RNA". It matches the Rfam family "Bacterial small subunit ribosomal RNA", at positions 524 to 776 of the family's 1533-position model. The record is from RNAcentral.
UACGGAGGGUGCGAGCGUUGUCCGGAAUCACUGGGCGUAAAGGGCGCGUAGGCGGUGCGAGAAGCGUGUGGUGAAAGGCCGGGGCUCAACUCCGGCUCGGCCGUGCGGACUCUCGCGCUUUGUGAGUGCUGUAGAGGCGGGCGGAAUUCCUGGUGUAGCGGUGAAAUGCGCAGAUAUCAGGAGGAACACCGGUGGCGAAGGCGGGUCUCUGGGCCGAUACUGACGCUGAGGAGCGAAAGCGUGGGGAGCGAACAGG